Molecule: long non-coding RNA, 737 nt
Filed under: Homo sapiens (human)
Lineage: Eukaryota; Metazoa; Chordata; Mammalia; Primates; Hominidae
Description: non-protein coding PCAT1:55
Source: RNAcentral
CCAAGCUUGGGCAGGAAGAGGGAAGGAAAGAGAAACUUUACGCCAAUCCCCCCCCUCCUCUGCUAACUUCCCCUCCCACCCUCGGGCCCUAACUAGCCCCGGGGACGCCUCCUCCCCACCAACGCAUCCAUCCCCAGAGGAACAAGCGAGGAUCUCAGAGCGCGACCUGGACAGGCUCUCACAAAAGUCACCGCGUUUGUGUAGGUAACUAAGGCCUACCGAAACCAGUCAGCCCUAAGUGCACACAGGAGAACCAUGGAGUUGGAGGAAAAGGAUGAUCUGCAAGUAUCCUGCAAAUAUCUCACCCAGUUAUUGCUGGGAUUCCCCAGGAACAUUACAUGGGAACAUAUCGCCAUAUAGGCUCAAUGGGUGCAGCAAGAAAUAAAAGAUGAGAAUUAUUAGGAUAUGUGGGAUGCUCUGGAAGCAUUCUAGCUGACGUAAUAGACAUUUGCGGAAAAGUCUUGGGGAUCCUGAAUUCAUUAAACAGCUUCUUCUUUUGCCCUGGUUCCUCAUGUUUUCUAGCAGCAAAAUUACUCUGUCCCCUUGGUGCCUUGGAAUGCUCCCAGCCUAAGCUCAGCCCACAUCCAGACAGGCCAAUGCUUUGGUAGCAAGCUGACCACACAAACUCUUGUAAACCGUGAUAAAGUUCCUAGAUAUUUUGGCUAUUUUAGCUUUUUAUUAUUGAAGAAAUACAUUAAUUUUCUUUUUUAAAUCCAGGGUGGUGUCUGUCACUUCCA